ACAGCCAAAGUAAAAGCUCCUUUUCACAACCCCCCCUCUCCCUCACCCUUUCCCCCAAGGCUUCAGUUCAUCGUGCCAUCGCUUUAAUAGCAGCCUUGUCAGAAACAGCUAUUGUAGCUCUGCAGAGAUCUUAUUUAAGAGCUGUAAUGUCCUUUAGUGAAAGUACAGCCAAUAAAUAACUUGGAUCUGAUCCAUAGACUCAGCCCUAUAAUCUGGGCGAACACCCAAUGACUCCUUUCGGGUCAAGGGCAUCCGCUACAUUUGUGAAGGCCACAACUCUCUAUUUCCCUGUUCUCACUCUUUGAACAUCAUCCACUUCCCAGCAUGCAAAUGGCAAUGGCCUAUGCCACUGGGUUAGAAACAGGGAGGAACAACAGCUUUGCUGAAGCAGAUGUCAUACCAGCUGUCUUGUCCUCCUCCGCCAGCGAUCAGCCACCUUUCUGCUUGGGUUCUUUUCAGGAUCGUCACCGAGCCCCGGACAGCCUCCAACUGCAGUUCGUUUGCAGUAAUGUUCCCAGGAGGGAGGCUGGACAGCUGGUUCGUGAAGGACUUGGGCAAAAAUCUUACCGCAGCUGACCCCAAGAGAAGAAAGUAUGUUUAACCACUGAGAAGAAACAUUUUUGGAAAAGUGCCUCUCAAUUGUUUUUACAAUGUCGAACAAGGUAGAUGGAUGUAACACUACAAGAAAGAAGGUUGCACAUUUCAGCAGAACGAAUAAAGCAAACUUUUCCCACUCC
Molecule: long non-coding RNA, 737 nt
Filed under: Eptatretus burgeri (inshore hagfish)
Lineage: Eukaryota; Metazoa; Chordata; Myxini; Myxiniformes; Myxinidae
Description: lncRNA (ENSEBUG00000017356.1)
Source: RNAcentral